This 915-nucleotide ribosomal RNA is filed under the name Triticum aestivum (bread wheat). RNAcentral's name for it is "partial small subunit ribosomal RNA". Lineage: Eukaryota; Viridiplantae; Streptophyta; Magnoliopsida; Poales; Poaceae. The record is from RNAcentral.
AUGAAUGGUGUUUUGACAAAAGGUGGAAAGAAAUAUUUCAUGACGUUAAUUGAUGACUCCACUAGAUACUGUUGUGUGUAUCUUCUGAAAUCUAAGGAUGAGGCUUUGAACUUUUUCAAGAUCUAUAAAGCUGAAGUGGAAAACCAACUUGAUCAAAAAAUCAAGAGGCUUAGGUCCGACCGUGGUGGAGAGUAUUUUUCCAAUGAAUUUGACGCUUUUUGUGCGGAACAUGGUAUAAUCCAUGAGAGGACGCCUCCCUACUCACCUCAGUCAAAUGGGGUGGCCGAAAGAAAGAACCGUACUCUAACUGAUUUGGUUAACGCCAUGUUAGACACUUCGGGUCUCUCUAAGGCAUGGUGGGGGGAGGCGAUAUUGACAGCAUGUCAUGUCCUAAACCGAGUCCCCACAAAGAAGAAAGAGAUAACUCCAUUCGAGGAAUGGGAGAAGAAAAGGUUAAAACUCUCUUAUCUGCGAACAUGGGGUUGUUUAGCGAAAGUCAAUGUUCCAAUUCCAAAGAAGCGGAAGCUUGGACCAAAGACUGUGGAUUGUGUUUUCCUGGGAUAUGCUUUUCAUAGCAUUGGCUAUAGAUUCUUUGUUGUAAAAUCGGAGGUACCUGACAUGCAUGUCGGUACGAUCAUGGAGUCGAAUGAUGUGACUUUCUGUGAAGAUAUCUUUCCCAUGAAGGAUAUGGCUACCUCAUCUAAUCAGGAGAUGCCUAGUUCAUCAAAUCAGGAACCAGUUACAAUUACCAAACCUGCCAUUUCGAUGGAACACUUUGAAAGUCCUGUGGAGGAAAACAAUGAAGUUCCUACUAGGAGCAAGAGACAGAGGACUGCAAAGUCCUUUGGUGAUGAUUUUCUUGUGUAUCUCAUAGAUGACACUCCCAGUUCUAUUUCAGAGGCCUAUGCAUCUUAA